GAUGAACGCUGGCGGCGUGCCUAAUACAUGCCAGUCGAGCGAACAGACGAGGAGCUUGCUCCUCUGACGUUAGCGGCGGACGGGUGAGUAACACGUGGAUAACCUACCUAUAAGACUGGGAUAACUUCGGGAAACCGGAGCUAAUACCGGAUAAUAUAUUGAACCGCAUGGUUCAAUAGUGAAAGACGGUUUUGCUGUCACUUAUAGAUGGAUCCGCGCCGCAUUAGCUAGUUGGUAAGGUAACGGCUUACCAAGGCGACGAUGCGUAGCCGACCUGAGAGGGUGAUCGGCCACACUGGAACUGAGACACGGUCCAGACUCCUACGGGAGGCAGCAGUAGGGAAUCUUCCGCAAUGGGCGAAAGCCUGACGGAGCAACGCCGCGUGAGUGAUGAAGGUCUUCGGAUCGUAAAACUCUGUUAUUAGGGAAGAACAAAUGUGUAAGUAACUAUGCACGUCUAGACGGUACCUAAUGAGAAAGCCACGGCUAACUACGUG
Molecule: ribosomal RNA, 497 nt
Filed under: uncultured bacterium
Lineage: Bacteria
Description: partial 16S ribosomal RNA
Rfam family: Bacterial small subunit ribosomal RNA
Source: RNAcentral